This is a long non-coding RNA of Ictalurus punctatus (channel catfish), 1176 nucleotides long. The record is from Ensembl. Lineage: Eukaryota; Metazoa; Chordata; Actinopteri; Siluriformes; Ictaluridae.
GUUCAGAGUAUAGAUGUCUAUAAAGGUGCUGUAUCUCCAGAAUUCAGUGCGGUUUGGUCAUUUUCCAGGUUUUUCCAACUUUAAAAACACUGUUUAGAUUUGGACUUAACCAAUGAGGCAUGUUUGAUCAACAACAACAACAACAAUAAUAAAAAACGCUAGGCAAACCUGUGCUUUGUGGGGAAAUUGGGCUUCAGAUCACUAACCAGUGCUUCGUGAGGCCAGUCGGGACCUACGUAAUGCCGAUUGUCUUGUAUGUUUGAGCAAUCUGAGAAAUGAAUGGACAUUAUAUCUGAAAUAUGUGAAACUUGCCUUGGAGAACAAAACAAUGGCAUUCCUUAUGUGGUAUACAGCAUGUCGAGUCCUUUCUGUCCCUCGGAGAAAACCCAUCUUAUUUUAACUGUAAGGCUUCAUUUUAGCCUUUGACUUUGAUUUAGUUGUUUGGUUUUUAUCCACCUUUUCCAUUCUGUUGUUCAACUCUAUUAUGUUCGAUUGAUAAACCCUGUUAUAUUCCACCCUUAUACAUUCCAUGCUACUAUAUUUCAAUCCUGUUGUAUUCACUGUUCUGGCCUUUUAUGUUCCAACCUGCUAUGUUCCACCUUGUUCUAUUCCAUCCUGUUGUUUUCCUUUGUUCUGCCCAUCGCUAUGUUGUAUUGUUCCACCCUGUUAUAUUCCAACCAGCUGUACCACCCUGUUAUGUGACACUUCGUUGCACUCUGUUAUGUUUCACCCUGAUAUGUUACGUUGCGUUACGUUUCACUUUGUUACUCUUUGUUGUAACUAAUGUUACAACUAUGUUACAUCUCUCUUACGUCAAACUAUUCUGCCUGGUUAUGUUACACUCAAUUAUGUUACACAUUGUUACGCUCUGUAAUGUUACACUAUUCCACCCUGUUAUAUUACACUUUAUUAUGUUACACUCUGCUACAGUAUGUUACACAUUGUUACUCUCUGUUAUGUUACACACAGCCACCCUGUUAUGUUAUACCUAAAGUUACAGGUAUGUAACAACUCUCUGUUAUGUCAUACUAUUCUGCCUGGUUAUGUUACACCCUGUUAUGUUACACUAUUCCACCCUGUUAUAUUACACCAUGUCAUGUUACAUUAUACUGUUUUGUUAUGUUGCACCCUAUUAAGCCUGUUAUUAAGCUUGACAGAGUGGAAUAAAGAUGUGAC